GCAAGUCACUUAACCCCAUUGCCUGCCAAAGAAAAAAAAAAAGAAAAAACCCAAACUUUAUAGGCAAGGUCCCUGAAGUUUGGAGACAGGAGGGCCAAUCACCGUCUCACAGAAAGUCACCCCUGGAGGUGGCAUAAAGCCGGAUGCGACUCCCAGCAGAGUUCUCACUAUACCAUCUUCCCAGCCUGUCUCAGAGGGCAGUCAGCCCUCAGUCCACCCUCCCGACCUUGGCCUUAGCUAGUCCUAUCUUGGAGAGUUGGGGCAGGAGCUCAGCUGCUACCACAAACACUGCUGGUGGAUGCCUGGAGGACCCCAACUCAAGGUGUUCUCCCCAUGGGGGCGGGAGGCUUAGGUGAUGUGUAGAUGUUUGGGUUCUAGUCCCACUCUGCAAUACUGUGAUGCGAAGGAACCCUGGUGGAACGUGGCAUGGAAAGUAGGCCACUCCAUUCUCAGGGUACUGCCCGGCAUUCCCAUCGCCAUCUUGCUUUGAAACCCAUCCAACUCCAAAUUUCAGAGCAACUGGGUUUCCUGUGGCCCUUCCACUUCCAAAAGAAGGCAAGGAGGGGAACAAGAUGGUCUAGGCCUGUGAGUGAGAGGGACCUAAGCAGUCAUUUAGUUCAGGGAGAAACCACUUACUUAUGGCCACCCAGGACAAAGCUAGGAUUUGAACAUGGUUUCUCAACUCCAAAUGCUUGCUUUCCAUUACAACGUGACACCUAGCCCCUACUCCCGAGGGACUCUGCUUUGGGAAGAACUGGGGCUGAAGACAGGCUACGAAUGCCUCCCACCCCCUGCACCACAACACCUCCAAAGUUGGAGUCCACUGGGCAAGGACACUGACGACUGUCUGAAGCCCCUCCCUGGCCCGCUCAGGUUCAGCAAUCUGUCCCUCCCUUCCUGUUCAGACACACCCUCCUUCGGCCAGCCGUGGAGUUCGACCUUUCUGCACGUGGGGGUUCUCUCCCCCUAGCAAGCCCUAGGCACCGAUUCCAAGAAGACUGAAAAAGGUGGUCUGCCUGCCCCCCCCCCCCAAGCCUCAGGCACUCGGAGAAGGGAUUUCUAAGAAGGCCAAGGCUAGGCAUGGCAAGUCCUCAGACCCCAGCAGCAGCAGCUCCAGCGAUUCUGACACAGAUGGGAAGCCUCCAGGGCCUGGCCAGGGCCCCCAGAAGGAGCAAAAACUGAAGAAGGUGAAGAAGACCAAGGAAAAAGGGAAGAAGGGGGAGAAGGGAUCGGCCCCCUGAAGGCAGCCUGGGUCUGCAUUAAACAG
Molecule: long non-coding RNA, 1267 nt
Organism: Phascolarctos cinereus (koala)
Lineage: Eukaryota; Metazoa; Chordata; Mammalia; Diprotodontia; Phascolarctidae
Source: RefSeq, a predicted model, not a curated record